This 425-nucleotide ribosomal RNA is filed under the name uncultured bacterium. Its description in RNAcentral is "partial 16S ribosomal RNA". It matches the Rfam family "Bacterial small subunit ribosomal RNA", at positions 354 to 796 of the family's 1533-position model. The record is from RNAcentral.
GUGGGGAAUAUUGGACAAUGGGCGCAAGCCUGAUCCAGCCAUGCCGCGUGAGUGAUGAAGGCCCUAGGGUUGUAAAGCUCUUUCACCGGUGAAGAUAAUGACGGUAACCGGAGAAGAAGCCCCGGCUAACUUCGUGCCAGCAGCCGCGGUAAUACGAAGGGGGCUAGCGUUGUUCGGAAUUACUGGGCGUAAAGCGCACGUAGGCGGACUGGUCAGUUAGGGGUGAAAUCCCAGGGCUCAACCCUGGAACUGCCUUUAAUACUGCCAGUCUAGAGUUCGAGAGAGGUGAGUGGAAUUCCGAGUGUAGAGGUGAAAUUCGUAGAUAUUCGGAGGAACACCAGUGGCGAAGGCGGCUCACUGGCUCGAUACUGACGCUGAGGUGCGAAAGCAUGGGGAGCAAACAGGAUUAGAUACCCCGGUAGUCC